UACGUAGGGUGCGAGCGUUAAUCGGAUUUACUGGGCGUAAAGCGUGCGCAGGCGGCCCGUUAAGACAGGUGUGAAAUCCCUGGGCUCAACCUAGGAAUUGCGCUUGUGACUGGCGGGCUCGAGUACGGUAGAGGGGGGUGGAAUUCCUGGUGUAGCAGUGAAAUGCGUAGAGAUCAGGAGGAACACCGAUGGCGAAGGCAGGCCCCUGGGCCUGUACUGACGCUCAGGCACGAAAGCGUGGGGAGCAAACAGG
Molecule: ribosomal RNA, 253 nt
Filed under: uncultured microorganism
Description: partial 16S ribosomal RNA
Rfam family: Bacterial small subunit ribosomal RNA
Source: RNAcentral